Molecule: ribosomal RNA, 405 nt
Filed under: bacterium enrichment culture clone ALO1_GLFRUDD03FWB8E
Lineage: Bacteria
Description: bacterial SSU rRNA
Rfam family: Bacterial small subunit ribosomal RNA
Source: RNAcentral
GAGUUUGAUCUUGGCUCAGAUUGAACGCUGGCGGCAUGCCUUACACAUGCAAGUCGAACGGCAGCACGGGAGCUUGCUCCUGGUGGCGAGUGGCGAACGGGUGAGUAAUGCAUCGGAACGUAUCCUGGAGUGGGGGAUAACGUAGCGAAAGUUACGCUAAUACCGCAUAUUCUGUGAGCAGGAAAGCGGGGGGACCUUCGGGCCUCGCGCUCUUGGAGCGGCCGAUGUCGGAUUAGCUAGUUGGUGAGGUAAAGGCUCACCAAGGCGACGAUCCGUAGCAGGUCUGAGAGGAUGAUCUGCCACACUGGAACUGAGACACGGUCCAGACUCCUACGGGAGGCAGCAGUGGGGAAUUUUGGGACAAUGGGGGCAACCCUGAUCCAGCCAUGCCGCGUGAGUGAAGAA